This 331-nucleotide ribosomal RNA is filed under the name uncultured eukaryote. RNAcentral describes it as "partial 18S ribosomal RNA". It matches the Rfam family "Eukaryotic small subunit ribosomal RNA", at positions 1470 to 1796 of the family's 1831-position model. The record is from RNAcentral.
CCCUUAGAUGUUCUGGGCCGCACGCGCGCUACACUGUUCGACGCAGCGAGUCUUAACCUUGACCGAAAGGUUUGGGUAAUCUUCAGCAAAGUCGAACGUGAUGGGGAUCGAUCAUUGCAAUUAUUGAUCGUGAACGAGGAAUUCCUAGUAAGUGCAAGUCAUCAGCUUGCGCUGAUUACGUCCCUGCCCUUUGUACACACCGCCCGUCGCUACUACCGAUUGAAUGGUUUAGUGAGAUCCCUGGAUUGACGCUGGCUAGGGGGCGACCCUUGGCCAGACUGUUGAGAAACUGCUCAAACUUGAUCAUUUAGAGGAAGUAAAAGUCGUAACA